This 74-nucleotide transfer RNA is filed under the name Heterostelium pallidum. RNAcentral's name for it is "tRNA-Pro". It matches the Rfam family "tRNA". Rfam says of the family: Transfer RNA (tRNA) molecules are approximately 80 nucleotides in length. Lineage: Eukaryota; Evosea; Eumycetozoa; Acytosteliales; Acytosteliaceae. The record is from RNAcentral.
AAGAAUGUAGCAUAAAUGGGUAAUGCAUUCGUUUUGGGAACGAAAGAGUAUCAGUUCAAGCCUGAUCAUUCCGA